RNAcentral lists this long non-coding RNA (247 nucleotides) under Selaginella moellendorffii. RNAcentral describes it as "long non-coding RNA (SMOE_LNC002399)". The record is from RNAcentral. Lineage: Eukaryota; Viridiplantae; Streptophyta; Lycopodiopsida; Selaginellales; Selaginellaceae.
UUCCAUGUACCAACUUAUAGCAUGGCAGGAGAGUCCCGCAGCCAAGUCGUGGUGUAGGCGUACUUCAUCAUGAGAUUGAGCAGUGGCCGCUCCAUCACCUGCUCUUGAUUCGACACAAACACAUCCAGCCGAAACCAGAGUCACUCGUGGGACUCGAUGUCUGUGACACAGGAACGCCACCUGUUUACUCCUCCCAUUUUCUCCUUGGCCUCGUUCUGGAUGAAGGCCCGGUCCUCGAGGAUGGCAG